Molecule: ribosomal RNA, 1456 nt
Filed under: metagenome
Description: bacterial LSU rRNA
Rfam family: Bacterial large subunit ribosomal RNA
Source: RNAcentral
UAUACUUCGAUGGGGUGACGGAGAAACGUAAGGACUGCGAACUGACGGAGUAGUUCGUUGAAGUGUUUAGGCUGUGAGAGUGUAGGUGAAUCCGCAUUUGAGCUGAUGCACGAUAGUACAGGGGUCUGCAUGCAGGCGCCUGAUAUUGUCCCCAAGUAUGCUUCCAAAAAAAACCUCUAAGCUCUAGGUAUAUACAGCCCGUACCGUAAACCGACACAGGUAGUCGAGGAGAGUAUCCUAAGGCGCUCGAGUGAAUCAUGGCUAAGGAAUUAGGCAAAAUGGCCUCGUAACUUCGGGAGAAGAGGCGCUCCGUGUAAAAAUGGAGCCGCAGUAAAAAGGCCCAGGCGACUGUUUAGCAAAAACACAGGACUCUGCGAAAUCGUAAGAUGAAGUAUAGGGUCUGACACCUGCCCGGUGCUGGAAGGUUAAGGAAGGGGCUUAGUGCGCAAGUGCGAAGGUCUUGACUGAAGCCCCAGUAAACGGCGGCCGUAACUAUAACGGUCCUAAGGUAGCGAAAUUCCUUGUCGGGUAAGUUCCGACCUGCACGAAUGGUGUAACGAUCUGGGCACUGUCUCAGCCAUGAGCUCGGUGAAAUUGAAGUAUCGGUGAAGAUGCCGGUUACCCGCAGUGGGACGAAAAGACCCCGUGCACCUUUACUAUAGCUUCACAUUGAGCUUGAGUAUAAGAUGUGUAGGAUAGGUGGGAGACUAUGAAGUGGUCACACUAGUGGCUGUGGAGUCGCCGUUGAAAUACCACCCUUCUUAUACUUAGGUUCUAACCCCACUGAAGGUGGGGGACAUUGUGUGGUGGGUAGUUUGACUGGGGUGGUCGCCUCCAAAAGAGUAACGGAGGCUUGCAAAGGUUCCCUCAGCAUGGUCGGUAAUCAUGCGUAGAGCGUAUUAGUAUAAGGGAGCUUGACUGGGAGACCGACGGGUCGAUCAGGGACGAAAGUCGGCUAAAGUGAUCCGGUGGUUCCGUAUGGAAGGGCCAUCGCUCAAAGGAUAAAAGGUACGCCGGGGAUAACAGGCUUAUCUCCCCCAAGAGCUCACAUCGGGGAGGUUUGGCACCUCGAUGUCGGCUCGUCACAUCCUGGGGCUGGAGAAGGUCCCAAGGGUUGGGCUGUUCGCCCAUUAAAGUGGCACGCGAGCUGGGUUCAGAACGUCGCAAGACAGUUCGGUCUCUAUCUACUGUGGGCGUAGGAAUAUUGAGAAGAUCUGACACUAGUACGAGAGGACCGUGUUGGACAAACCUCUAGUGUACCAGUUAUGCCGCCAGGUGUACCGCUGGGUAGCUAAGUUUGGAACGGAUAAGCGCUGAAAGCAUCUAAGCGCGAAGCCAACUUCAAGAUGAGUAUUCCAUUGUCUUCGGACUAAGAGGGUUGUUGCAGAUGACGACGUUGAUAGGCUACAGGUGGAAGUGCAGUGAUGUAUGGAGCCGAGUAGUACUAAUUACCCGA